RNAcentral lists this ribosomal RNA (253 nucleotides) under uncultured bacterium. RNAcentral's name for it is "partial 16S ribosomal RNA". It matches the Rfam family "Bacterial small subunit ribosomal RNA", at positions 524 to 776 of the family's 1533-position model. The record is from RNAcentral.
UACGAAGGGGGCUAGCGUUGCUCGGAAUUACUGGGCGUAAAGGGAGCGUAGGCGGACAUUUAAGUCAGAGGUGAAAUCCCGGAGCUUAACUUCGGAACUGCCUUUGAUACUGGGUGUCUUGAGUGUGAGAGAGGUAUGUGGAACUCCGAGUGUAGAGGUGAAAUUCGUAGAUAUUCGGAAGAACACCAGUGGCGAAGGCGUCAUACUGGCUCAUUACUGACGCUGAGGCUCGAAAGCGUGGGGAGCAAACAGG